GAUGAACGCUGACAGAAUGCUUAACACAUGCAAGUCUUUGGCGAAGCUGUGCUUGCACAGCCUAGCCAAGGCGGACGGGUGAGUAACGCGUAAGGAACUUGCCCUGCAGUCAGGGAUAACAGACGGAAACGACUGAUAAGACCUGGUAAAGUCAGGCGGACUCAUGUCCAGCCUGAUGAAAAGAGAUGCUGCAGGAGAGCCUUGCGUCCUAUUAGCUUGUUGGUGGGGUAACGGCCCACCAAGGCGAUGAUAGGUAGCCGGCCUGAGAGGGUGGACGGCCACAAGGGGACUGAGAGACGGCCCUUACUCCUACGGGAGGCAGCAGUGGGGAAUAUUGGACAAUGGGGGCAACCCUGAUCCAGCAAUUCUGUGUGCACGAUGAAGGUUUUCGGAUUGUAAAGUGCUUUCAGCAGGGAAGAAAAAAUGACGGUACCUGCAGAAGAAGCGACGGCUAAAUACGUG
This 462-nucleotide ribosomal RNA is filed under the name uncultured bacterium. Its description in RNAcentral is "partial 16S ribosomal RNA". It matches the Rfam family "Bacterial small subunit ribosomal RNA", at positions 28 to 507 of the family's 1533-position model. The record is from RNAcentral.